UUUUAAGCAAUGACGGGGAAGUUGGAUAACAAACGAACCCUCAGCGAGCCGGGGAAGGUGCAAGCCCGGCGGUUACGAGUUAUCGAGGUUCACCCCUGAGCUCCGUGCUGAACGUAAGUAGGCGCUGGCGGCCUCCACCGUUAUCUGGAUAGGGUAUCGAUAUAUAAAAAAUAUGUCCGUACCUGAAAUAAGCCGGAAUGCUAUUUGGCAUUCAACAAAGGUGGUACCGCGGGAGAUCUCUCUCGUCCUUUCU
This 253-nucleotide non-coding RNA is filed under the name Dethiobacter alkaliphilus. Its description in RNAcentral is "T-box sequence". It matches the Rfam family "T-box leader". From Rfam's summary of the family: Uncharged tRNA acts as the effector for transcription antitermination of genes in the T-box leader family. Lineage: Bacteria; Bacillati; Bacillota; Dethiobacteria; Dethiobacterales; Dethiobacteraceae. The record is from RNAcentral.